GCGAUAACACAGCGAAUCUGCGAACGGCUCAUUAAAUCGGUGAUAGUUGAUUUGAAAGUAAAUACUACUUGGAUAACCGUGGUAAUUCUAGAGCUAAUACAUGCCUCGAAAGGGCCCUCCUCACGGGGGGUCUGCACUUAUUAGAUACAAAACCAACCCAGGGGGCCAACCCCUGGUGCCAGGUGAUUCUAGAUAAUUUGCGGAUCGCAUGCCGCAAGGCGGCGACGCUUCUUUCAAAUUUCUGCCCUAUCAACUUUGGAUGGUAGUAUAGGGGACUACCAUGGUUGUAACGGGUAACGGGGAAUUAGGGUUCGAUUCCGGAGAGGGAGCCUGAGAAACGGCUACCACUUCCAAGGAAGGCAGCAGGCGCGAAAAUUACCCAAUGGUGACGUCUACCGAGGUAGUGACAAUAAAUAACAAUGCGGUCCACACACGUGGGCCGUAAUUGGAAUGGGUUGGGUUCAAACCCCCCAACGAGGAACAAUUGGAGGACAAGUCUGGUGCCAGCACCCGCGGUAAUUCCAGCUCCAAUAGCGUAUAUUAAAGUUGUUGCAGUUAAAAAGCUCGUAGUCGGAUUCAGGGGGGCACGCGGACUCGGUCUGCCCUACCGGGUGUGUACUGUCCGGUGCCCUCCGCUAUGCUUGGCAGCCCCCAGCUGGCAUUAAGUUGCUGGUUGGACGGCUCCAGGCCGUUUACCUUGAGCAAAUUGGGAUGCUCAAAGUAGGUUACCUACGCCUUGAACAUAUUAGCAUGGGAUAAUAGAAUAGGACCGCGUCUCUAUUUUGUUGGUUUUGGGAGGCUAGGUAAUGAUCAACAGGGGCAGUCGGGGUGACUCAUAUUUCGUGGGGAGAGGUGAAAUUCUUGGAUCCAUGAAAGAUGAACUAGUGCGAAAGCAUCUCACAAGUCUGCCUCCAUUGAUCAAGAACGAAAGUUAGGGGAUCGAAGACGAUCAGAUACCGUCGUAGUCUUAACUGUAAACGUUGCCGACCAUGGAUCCGGAGGUGUCGAUGGAUGACCCCCUGGGCACAUUGUGAGAAAUCAUGAGUGUUUGGGUUCCGGGGGGAGUAUGGUCGCAAGGCUGAAACUUAAAGGAAUUGACGGAAGGGCACCACCAGGAGUGGAGCCUGCGGCUUAAUUUGACUCAACACGGGGAAACUUACCAGGUCCAGACAUAGUGAGGAUUGACAGAUUGAUAGUUCUUUCUUGAUUCUAUGGGUGGUGGUGCAUGGCCGUUCUUAGUUGGUGGAGUGAUUUGUCUGGUUAAUUCCGAUAACGAACGAGACCACNACUUACUAAAUAGUGGGCCUGAGCCCCUACCGGGUGAAGGGUUGGCCUUUGGCGCGUCCUCNACGCGUCAUUUGCCUUCUUGGAUCCUUGGGGCUUCGGGUCCUGCUUCUUAGAGGGACAACCUGUCGGUAAGCGGGAGGAAGUUUGUGGCAAUAACAGGUCUGUGAUGCCCUUAGAUGUCCUGGGCCGCACGCGGACUACAAUGGUUGCGCCAAGGAGCUACCUGUCUCGAAAGAGGUGGGGAAUCUUCCCAAACGCNUCCAUGAUUGGGAUAGAGGAUUGCAAUUAUUUCUCUUCAACGAGGAAUUCCUAGUAACUGUUUGUCAUCAACGAACGACGAUUACGUCCCUGCCCUUUGUACACACCGCCCGUC
This 1660-nucleotide ribosomal RNA is filed under the name Heliamoeba mirabilis. RNAcentral describes it as "SSU rRNA". It matches the Rfam family "Eukaryotic small subunit ribosomal RNA", at positions 69 to 1677 of the family's 1831-position model. The record is from RNAcentral. Lineage: Eukaryota; Evosea; Variosea.